RNAcentral lists this transfer RNA (84 nucleotides) under Nitrososphaeria archaeon. RNAcentral's name for it is "tRNA-His". The record is from RNAcentral. Lineage: Archaea; Thermoproteati; Nitrososphaerota; Nitrososphaeria.
GCGGGGGUCCCCGAGCUAGGUCAAAGCCCAUUAGUGUGGAUCUGCUGGCGUAGGCCUUCGUGGGUUCGAAUCCCACCCCCCGCA